Molecule: non-coding RNA, 29 nt
Filed under: Mus musculus (house mouse)
Lineage: Eukaryota; Metazoa; Chordata; Mammalia; Rodentia; Muridae
Source: RNAcentral
AGGCUAAUUCAUUAGGCUGCUGCUCUCAA